RNAcentral lists this ribosomal RNA (256 nucleotides) under uncultured Gardnerella sp. RNAcentral's name for it is "partial 16S ribosomal RNA". It matches the Rfam family "Bacterial small subunit ribosomal RNA", at positions 99 to 355 of the family's 1533-position model. The record is from RNAcentral. Lineage: Bacteria; Bacillati; Actinomycetota; Actinomycetes; Bifidobacteriales; Bifidobacteriaceae.
CGAACGGGUGAGUAAUGCGUGACCAACCUGCCCCAUGCUCCAGAAUAGCUCUUGGAAACGGGUGGUAAUGCUGGAUGCUCCAACUUGACGCAUGUCUUGUUGGGAAAGUGUCUAGUGGCAUGGGAUGGGGUCGCGUCCUAUCAGCUUGUAGGCGGGGUAAUGGCCCACCUAGGCUUCGACGGGUAGCCGGCCUGAGAGGGCGGACGGCCACAUUGGGACUGAGAUACGGCCCAGACUCCUACGGGAGGCAGCAGCC